This 90-nucleotide transfer RNA is filed under the name Minisyncoccota bacterium. RNAcentral describes it as "tRNA-Ser". It matches the Rfam family "tRNA". From Rfam's summary of the family: Transfer RNA (tRNA) molecules are approximately 80 nucleotides in length. Their secondary structure includes four short double-helical elements and three loops (D, anti-codon, and T loops). Lineage: Bacteria; Bacillati; Minisyncoccota. The record is from RNAcentral.
GGAGACGUGGCUGAGUGGUCGAAAGCACCUCACUGCUAACGAGGCAGGGCCUUAAAACCCUCGACGGUUCGAAUCCGUCCGUCUCCGCCA